Molecule: long non-coding RNA, 1493 nt
Organism: Pogoniulus pusillus (Red-fronted tinkerbird)
Lineage: Eukaryota; Metazoa; Chordata; Aves; Piciformes; Lybiidae
Exons: 2
Source: RefSeq, a predicted model, not a curated record
GCUGUGCACCAUGAGCACCCCACAGCAGCCAGGCUGUGCACCAUGAGCACCCACAGCAGCCAGGCUGUGCACCAUGAGCACCCACACUCACAGCAGCCAGGUUGCACACCAUGAGCACCCACAGCAGCCAGGCUGUGCACCAUGAGCACCCACAGCAGCCAGGCUGCAGACUAUCAGCACCCACAGCAGCCAGGUUGCGCACCAUGAGCACCCACAGCAGCCAGGCUGUGCACCAUGAGCACCCACAGCAGCCAGGCUGCAGACUAUCAGCACCCACAGCAGCCAGGCUGUGCACCAUGAGCACCCACACUCACAGCAGCCAGGUUGCACACCAUGAGCACCCACAGCAGCCAGGCUGUGCACCACAGGCACCCAUGGAGUUUGGGUGCAGGAGCUCCAUGAGCUCCUACAUGGCUCUGCUGGCUCAGCAGCCCAAGAAGAGCAGCUCUGACUGCCUGGGGAUGCUAGGCUGAUAUUCACCGGCCCUGAGCUUGAAACAAUCCUUUCUGGGGUUCUCUUCAUAUCUGUGCUGCUAUGUCCUUCCCUCCCUGACCACGCCAACGAUGCUGCCUGGGGCUGUGAGACCGAAACACGACAAGCCCGCGGCCAGAGCUCACGGUGCAACCGUCCGGCACACAGCCCACGUAAAGCAGUCCAGCUGAUGGUAGUGCUGCACAUCUGCAGGAAGAGAAGCAUUCCUGUGCCGCUGUGAGAGCCCACUGUGGUGUGGUGAGCACAAACCUGCUGCGUGGAGACUUCCCUGCCCAGAGAGGCCACCUGGCAUCGGCGCUUCCCUGGGCAGUCAGAGCAACUGCUCACACCUGCGCCUGGUGCCGCUCUCUGCACAGCCAGCCGAGAGAAGCAGGUGAGAAAACUGCAGAGCACUGCUAGCCCAACCAUCAGGAGUCUAGCUAGGGCAGGACUCUCCUGGCACAGAGGCACAGAGGCUGUUUGCUCAGCAGCAGCUAGGCUGGGAAAUAGCCUUGCAAAGCUGCAAUUGCAAAUGGGCUCACAAGCGCCUCCUAAGCCCCCCUCGAGCAGAUUAAAUCAGAAGGCAACUCCUGCUCGGUACCAACACGAAUGUAAAUAAGCUUGAGGAUCAAAAGAGAAGCUUGUUCCAGCUGCUCAUUCUCACCUCUCUUACCUCGAGUGCUUUUUUCCUCCUGUUGAAACUCAUUAGCACUGUGGAGCUCAACUGCUUCUCGUCUUCGUUUUGGACCUAACCACACAGCAAGAAGAGAAGUGAAGGUGGCUCCAGCAUUUAGAGCCAAGAGAGCUGCACUGUGGGGAUGCCAGCCUGCUCUGUCUCCUCAAUGUCUUCCCUUUCCUUCUCAGGUUGAGGUUGGGAUUCAAGUGCUGCUUGUCCUCCUUGCCCUGCUGACGUUCAGACAUCUCUGUGUGUGAACCUUUGCGACGCUAAUGCCUAGCAAGUCUUGUGCCAGCUGCAUGUAUCACUGCUCUGUCAGAGAAAACAAAUAAAGCCACUACACUGA